UUCAAACUCAUCUUUACUAAGGAGUAUACCCCUAAAAACACUUAUAAAUGUAGUUAAUUUGUCUAAAAGAAAUUCAAGCCAUAGGAGAUUUACAACAUAAAGAAUGGCCAAAUUUAUUUACAAAAUUCGUACAACAAAUUUUACAUCCUCAAAUUUAAGUACCACAUAAAAAUACAAUAUUAUAUCUUCCAAACAUUUACGUCGUCGUUAGUUUGGUGGGUCUUCUUUUGAUUUUGUUUCUUUGGAAUCGAGUUCUUCAUCCCUACAAAAUAAAACAAUGCACCAAAGAGUGCAAGGCAAAUAUAUCAGAAGAUAUGGGACUGCCAAAAAUAAAUAGCAAGACCCCAAGACCUUUGUCUGAAACAAAGAAACAAACUCACUACUAAAAAAAAACCUGACAAAAGGAAUUCAAAGACCAACCCCUAUAUAGGAAGUAUUUCUCUUCCUUACUACACAAUUGGUGGAUAGAAAAUCUCUUGCAAUUGUAAGAAAAAUAAUUCAUUUCAUCAAAAUUUCUAAAAACUAUUCCCAGGGUAUAAUAUGCAAACAGAGAGCUGACCACAAUCUUUUCGAAAAUUUAAAUAGGGCAUCAGUCACUGUGUGGUAGUAGACUAACUUAUGCAAUUGAUCAAUUCUUCAUAGACAACAUAUCAAACAGGUGAUGCGCAAAUUUUUUUUUUGCAUAUGUAUGACAUUUGAGCAGAGGAUCAUUACCUGACAUGCAAAUCAAUACUAAUAUAUUGUCUAUUGCAUUAGUGACACGGAAGCAAUGGAGAUAGAUGACCAUCCUCCAGUCCAACAUGCUACUGAUAAAAAUAAAAAUGCCAAGUUACCUGGGUCUUGCUUGAAAUUGAGAACUGAAUUAAAUACUUAUAAACCCUUCUUGCCGCAAUAGAAAAACUCCACACGUUCAGUAAUUGGUCUUGUAGUUCUGGGCUCUCUGAUGACUAUUCUUAUAGCUCCCAAUAUCUGACAAUUGUGCUCUUAAUUUCAGUUGGUCCAAGUCCUUGAGUGCCAGCCAGAAAAAAUUACAGUCUUCAACAUUAUCUACCCCUUUUAGCUUUAUACUGAUUGUCAACAGGGAAUUGGAGCUGAUUUUGCAAGGGCAUACCUGAGUAAUGUAUGUGUUGCCAAGGAACUUUGCCGAAAUGGGUUGGGUUACUCGCUUGUUGCACAGUCAAAGAUGGUUGCUGAAGAUUGGGGUAAUGAGUUUUAUGUUUCUACUCUCCAGUACAUAUAUAUUAAUUUAUGGUGAUGGUACGGUCUGAAUAUUAUUAAGCCUAAAUAUUGGCAGAUUAUGUGGUUGUAGGGGUUGUCAACAAUCAAGCAGCUGUACCUUACUCAAGGGCAGAGGUUAUGCUCCUAUUGGAGGUAAUGCUGAUGUUUGGAAACAUCAUCACAGAGUAGUGAAACACAACCUAGUUUCAAGAAGUAAAAUUAGCAUACACAAUAGAGAGAGAAAGCAAAACCUUAAAAUUGCUGCGUUUCAUGAAGAACUGUAGGGAGGACUGCAGUCCAAAGGUUAACAUCACCCCUGAUAAGAACAGGAUUUGAUUCAGUAUCACCAAAAUAACCCCCAUGUUCAGCAAGAACAAAAGAAUCAAUAAGCAAAAUAGUAAGAGCAAAUAAUAAGAACUGAGCCAUAAAAUGUUGGCAGAGUGUCACUUAUACUUACAUUUCCCAUGGCAAGUAGUCUUUUAUCAAAGAAGAAAAUGAUUCCCAAAAAGGAGAAAAAAAACACCAAGAUUCGUAUGAGUUUAAAAAAGUCAAAAGACAUGAGGGAAAUAUACAAUUAGACCUUCAGAUUCAACAACAGCUUCUGUUUUACCAAAUAUCCAUCCCACCAUCUUUU
RNAcentral lists this long non-coding RNA (1852 nucleotides) under Panax ginseng (ginseng). Its description in RNAcentral is "long non-coding RNA (PGIN_LNC010721)". The record is from RNAcentral. Lineage: Eukaryota; Viridiplantae; Streptophyta; Magnoliopsida; Apiales; Araliaceae.